GAUAAACGCUGGCGGCGUGCCUAAUACAUGCAAGUCGAGCGAACAGACGAGGAGCUUGCUCCUCUGAUGUUAGCGGCGGACGGGUGAGUAACACGUGGAUAACCUACCUAUAAGACGGGGAUAACUUCGGGAAACCGGAGCUAAUACCGGAUAACAUUUUGAACCGCAUGGUUCAACAGUGAAAGACGGUGUUGCUGGCAGUGUUGGAUGGACCCGCGGCGCAUCAGCUAGUUGGUGAGGUAGAGGCUUACCAAGGCGACGAUGCGUAGCCGACCUUAGAGGGUGACCGGCCACACUGCGCCUGAGGUACGCCCCAGUAUCCAACGGGAGGCAACAGUGGGGAAUAUUGCACAGUGGGCGCAAGCCUGAUGCAGCGACGCCGCGUGCGGGAUGCCGGCCUUCGGGUUGAAAACCUCUUUCAAUGGGGACGAAGCGCAAGUGACGGUACCUAUAGAAGAAGCACCGGCCAACUACGUG
This 477-nucleotide ribosomal RNA is filed under the name uncultured bacterium. RNAcentral's name for it is "partial 16S ribosomal RNA". It matches the Rfam family "Bacterial small subunit ribosomal RNA", at positions 28 to 507 of the family's 1533-position model. The record is from RNAcentral.